Molecule: ribosomal RNA, 401 nt
Filed under: uncultured bacterium
Lineage: Bacteria
Description: bacterial SSU rRNA
Rfam family: Bacterial small subunit ribosomal RNA
Source: RNAcentral
GCCACGGCUAACUACGUGCCAGCAGCCGCGGUAAUACGUAGGUGGCAAGCGUUAUCCGGAAUUAUUGGGCGUAAAGCGCGCGUAGGCGGUUCUUAAGUCUGAUGUGAAAGCCCCCGGCUCAACCGGGGAGGGUCAUUGGAAACUGGGAAACUUGAGUGCAGAAGAGGAGAGUGGAAUUCCAUGUGUAGCGGUGAAAUGCGCAGAGAUAUGGAGGAACACCAGUGGCGAAGGCGGCUCUCUGGUCUGUAACUGACGCUGAGGUGCGAAAGCGUGGGGAUCAAACAGGAUUAGAUACCCUGGUAGUCCACGCCGUAAACGAUGAGUGCUAAGUGUUGGGGGGUUUCCGCCCCUCAGUGCUGCAGCUAACGCAUUAAGCACUCCGCCUGGGGAGUACGGUCGCA